This 463-nucleotide long non-coding RNA is filed under the name Junco hyemalis (dark-eyed junco). Its description in RNAcentral is "lncRNA (ENSJHYG00000018161.1)". Lineage: Eukaryota; Metazoa; Chordata; Aves; Passeriformes; Passerellidae. The record is from RNAcentral.
GUUUGCCAGUUGUCCUCUAAAGUUGUUGAAGAACUUUGAGUCAGUCCGAGGCAAGAAAUGCUGUUGAUAGGUUGGCACAGAGUUCAUGUGGAGAGCUUGCUGGAGUCAUGUAUAUUGUGAGCACCAAGAGCUGUGAUUCAGUAUUUGCAGAAAGACAUCUCUUCAAACAAGCAGAGCCAUCCUCCAUCCUAAAGGUUUGCACUACGCCUUGUCUGUGACAGCAACUGCCUCUGAGCCUCCAUGAGCAAAGUGUAUUUGGCUGAGCCCACUCCUCACACACUUCCUUCUGCUGCAGUCAGACUUCUGAACAUGAGCAGGCAGAUGAAAAGGGAAAUGGCAGGCAAGGUCCCAGACAACUCCUCCAGACAAUGCCUGCAUAACUGGAGGAAGCCACAGACCUCUCUCUGAUAAGGUGAUUGUGAUUAUUUUGCUUUUUGGAUUUAGUACAGCCAACUCAUUCCCU